RNAcentral lists this long non-coding RNA (1300 nucleotides) under Crocodylus porosus (Australian saltwater crocodile). RNAcentral describes it as "lncRNA (ENSCPRG00005010240.1)". The record is from RNAcentral. Lineage: Eukaryota; Metazoa; Chordata; Crocodylia; Crocodylidae.
GUUGCAUCUUAUCAUUAGCUUAAGUACAAAAUAACCCCUGGCCUAAUAACACAUCUGUAGAAAGCUUGCUGGGUUUAAAUUAGGUUGAUUGGAUCCCACGUAACCAUGCAAACUUAAGAAAGGAAGGCUACACUGCCAGAUAUUGGGGUGAGUGGAUGCUUCAGGUCUAUUAGCAGAUAUGUUUCUCUUAGGUUUUUAUGAGGCACCAUGCCUUACAAGGAAGGGAAUCAAUUUAUCCAUGGACCACACCUUCCCCAAGGCUAAGCUUAGCUCUGUAUUUAUAGGGAGCCCACACUCAGAUCCUGCUUACUACAUCCUGGUUCCUAUCUAGUCAUGAAUAAUAACAGUCCCUCCCUAUUGCUCUUCACUGACAGUCUCGAAAAGUAAAGUCUUCAUUAUGCUUCCACAGAAACCCAGCAUUAAAAAGUGACUUAACCCUGGCUAUGCAGUAGCUCAGGGUAAAGAAGGGAACAAAAACCAGGUCUCCUACUUUCUAGUCCAUUGAAUCACAAUGCUAUAAGGGUUGCAUCAUGUCUGCGAGCAACUGAGCAUUUUCUGAGCCAGGCCUUUUAUUUACAUGGCUUUAAUCACAUCCUUUCUUACAGGAAGCGAGAAGUGCUUUUCCUGGCUCUGUGAUUUUAGGACUGCUCAAUCCUCACCAGUACACUUAUCUGUAAAUUGCUCAGAAGUAAAGAAAGGGGAGGGGCAAAAAGGGGAUUGCUUAGACAUAUCAUUCCAUGAUAGCACUGGGGAAAGAAGCCAUUGGUGACUGGACGGAUGCAGGUGCAAAUACAACCUGGAUGUGACUGGAUUAGGUGGCAUGUUGCCAGGGCUGCCCUUGACUUGCAGCUCUUGAGCUAACUGCCAAAAGGGGUUGGACUUGUUCUUCAGGGAAGUGUUGAGAUCCUGUGGAUCUUCCAGGACCCCUGUCUCAGGAGAGACCUUGGUCUCAGUGGAAAGAAGCAGACAUCCCAGCCAGACUCUACUAAUUGCCUUGCAUGCUUGCAAGGCAGCCCAGGAAGCACUGAACCUCGAGUUGCCAACACACAACCUCAAAUUGCCAGCAUCUCUCUUGUUCUUCCUGGUCCCCCAGAGCUGGAAACAAGAAGAGAAAACAGAGCAAACGAGCACACUGGCUUCUGGAGAUUUCACUGUUCUGCUGCCCCCACACAUGAAUUUGGCCCAGUAUGUCAGACAAUCUUUUGCAAACCUUAGUUUAACCCAGAGAAGGAGUAUCACAACAAAUUCCUUGCAGCAGACUGCUACCAUAUCACUCCCUUAUUCUGGGACUCUCUGUUAA